AAAUGAACAAAAAAGAGAAAAAGGAGAAAAGAAAAUAAAUGAACAAAAAAGAGAAAAAAGAGAAAAGCUAAAAAAAGAAAAAAGAUAAAGAAAAAAGAAAAAAGAGAAAAUAGAAAUAAAAAAGAGGACAGAAAAAUAUGAAAAGAAGAAAAAAGAAAAAAAGAAAAUAAAAAAAUAAUAGAUGAAAAAAGAAAAAACGAAAGGAAAAACGGAUAAUGACAAGAGAAGAAAGGUAAAGAGAAAAGAAGAAAAAAGCCAAGUCAAAAAGUAAAGAAUAACUCGAAGGAAGGAGUGGAUGGCAAGAAAUACAGAGAAAGCAAUGCAUAGCACAGCAAAGCAAAGCAAGGCAAAAUAGCAGCCAAAGCCACGAGAAUCAAGAAGUCAGUGAAGAGCAGGAAAGGAAUGGAGGAAUCUGGCCAGAGCUGUGCCCCUGCUUGCCACAGGAGCUGCGCGGGAGGAGAAGAAUGUGGGCCAAAAGAUUUGUUUUGCUUGCAGGUGUUCCACUUUGGCUUUGUAUGACACAGUGGACGAGAGGGUACGGCGUUCAGUGGAACAAACACUGCAGACCCUGGGGAGAAUCAAAGCAGGAGAGAGGAAAUGUGCCCUUUGCAGCAGGGGCCCUUGUGCUGGCAUUACCCAUCGCAUCCACUGCUGCUGUGGUCCUUUCUUUCCUUUGGGCAGUUUGCUGUCUCUCAAGGUGUUGUCUACAAUAGGUG
This 716-nucleotide long non-coding RNA is filed under the name Gallus gallus (chicken). Its description in RNAcentral is "lncRNA (ENSGALG00010024951.1)". Lineage: Eukaryota; Metazoa; Chordata; Aves; Galliformes; Phasianidae. The record is from RNAcentral.